This 468-nucleotide ribosomal RNA is filed under the name uncultured bacterium. RNAcentral describes it as "partial 16S ribosomal RNA". It matches the Rfam family "Bacterial small subunit ribosomal RNA", at positions 28 to 507 of the family's 1533-position model. The record is from RNAcentral.
GACGAACGCUGGCGGCGUGCUUAACACAUGCCAGUCGAACGGAAAGGCCCUGCUUUUGUGGGGUGCUCGAGUGGCGAACGGGUGAGUAACACGUGAGUAACCUGCCCUUGACUUUGGGAUAACUUCAGGAAACUGGGGCUAAUACCGGAUAGGAGCUCCUGCUGCAUGGUGGGGGUUGGAAAGUUUCGGCGGUUGGGGAUGGACUCGCGGCUUAUCAGCUUGUUGGUGGGGUAGUGGCUUACCAAGGCUUUGACGGGUAGCCGGCCUGAGAGGGUGACCGGCCACAUUGGGACUGAGAUACGGACCAGACUCCUACGGGAGGCAGCAGUGGGGAAUAUUGCACAAUGGGCGGAAGCCUGAUGCAGCAACGCCGCGUGCGGGAUGCCGGCCUUCGGGUUGUAAACCGCUUUCGCCUGUGACGAAGCGUGAGUGACGGUAAUGGGUAAAGAAGCACCGGCUAACUACGUG